UUUGCAUAAACAGAUCUCUCUAUCCAAGAAGAAAUAAGCCAAAGGGGUAUUUUCCAGAAAGGACGGGGAAAAAAAUGGGGCUCAUGGACUCAUUCAUACAUGAAUAAGCACAAAUGUCCAUGGAACAAUACACCACAAAAAUAAAAUUCCAACUGGACAACAAAAAGAGAGGUUCUAGAGCCAUAAUCAAAGCUAGCUAGACUCAGUGGAUUUCCCUUUGAGGAGUGACUGGUAGAUAUUUCAGGAUUUCAUUAACUGUAUUAAACACCUAGCAGAGAUGAUAGUCUAUCUCUUGUUUGUGGUAAAUGGUUUCAUGGGAACCAAAAGCAAUAUACAGUCAUCAAAAUGCGUUGGAUUGCUUCGUAUUCCAAGCCUUCUUUAAAAAAAAAGAAAAGAACAACAUUAUUAACCAAGGUUGACUUAACCACAACUCCCGUUGGCUUCUGUGGGAGUUUUGCCAUGGCUGAAGACCACAAAUAAGACCCAUGCUCCUGGUAAUAAAAAGGCUGCCCAGAUACUGUGGAAAAGUUGCUGAACCUCAGAGUGAAAGAAAACACUUUCCUGUCACUGGAUACGGCUCCAUGUUGACUUCCAUUAAAACGUAACCUGAGCCCAGGAUGCAGAUGAUUAGAAUGUUCUUGGAAUAAUGGACAAAGGUUAUUUUACCCAAAGAGCAAUCAUGCUCUCCAGACAGGGGUGUGUGUAGAGGGAACAGGAGUGCUGGCUCC
Molecule: long non-coding RNA, 728 nt
Filed under: Mus caroli (Ryukyu mouse)
Lineage: Eukaryota; Metazoa; Chordata; Mammalia; Rodentia; Muridae
Description: lncRNA (MGP_CAROLIEiJ_G0005606.1)
Source: RNAcentral